This 417-nucleotide ribosomal RNA is filed under the name uncultured microorganism. RNAcentral's name for it is "bacterial SSU rRNA". It matches the Rfam family "Bacterial small subunit ribosomal RNA", at positions 9 to 431 of the family's 1533-position model. The record is from RNAcentral.
GAGUUUGAUCUUGGCUCAGAUUGAACGCUGGCGGCAUGCCUUACACAUGCAAGUCGAACGGUAACAGGUCUUCGGAUGCUGACGAGUGGCGAACGGGUGAGUAAUACAUCGGAACGUGCCCGAUCGUGGGGGGAUAACGGAGCGAAAGCUUUGCUAAUACCGCAUACGAUCUACGGAUGAAAGCAGGGGACCGCAAGGCCUUGCGCGGACGGAGCGGCCGAUGGCAGAUUAGGUAGUUGGUGGGAUAAAAGCUUACCAAGCCGACGAUCUGUAGCUGGUCUGAGAGGACGACCAGCCACACUGGGACUGAGACACGGCCCAGACUCCUACGGGAGGCAGCAGUGGGGAAUUUUGGACAAUGGGCGGAAGCCUGAUCCAGCCAUGCCGCGUGCAGGAUGAAGGCCUCGGUUGUAACGU